Molecule: ribosomal RNA, 465 nt
Filed under: uncultured bacterium
Lineage: Bacteria
Description: partial 16S ribosomal RNA
Rfam family: Bacterial small subunit ribosomal RNA
Source: RNAcentral
AGCGAACGCUAGCGGCAGGCUUAACACAUGCAAGUCGAGCGCCAGGUUUCGGCCUGGAGCGGCGAACGGGUGAGUAACACGUAGGUCACGUACCCUAUGGUGGGGAAUACCCCGGGGAAACUCGGAUCAAUGCCCCAUAUGUCCGAAAGGAUGAAAGCGCUUCGGCGCGCCAGAGGAUCGGCCUGCGGCCCAUUAUUUAAUCCUAGUUGGUGAGGUAACGGCUCACCAAGGGUACGAUGGGUAGCUGGUCUGAGAGGACGAUCAGCCACACUGGAACUGAGACACGGUCCAGACUCCUACGGGAGGCAGCAGUGGGGAAUAUUGGACAAUGGGCGAAAGCCUGAUCCAGCCAUGCCGCGUGAGUGAUGAAGGCCUUUGGGUUGUAAAGCUCUGUCGUGGGGGAAGAAGUUCUGACGGUACCCCACAAGAAAGCACCGGCUAACUCCGUGCCAGCCGCCGCCGUAA